Meriones unguiculatus (Mongolian gerbil) is the source of this 360-nucleotide non-coding RNA. The record is from the annotation of a RefSeq genome assembly. NCBI's taxonomy places the organism in Eukaryota, Metazoa, Chordata, Mammalia, Rodentia, Muridae.
AUGCUUCCUCGUCCAACAGACCUAACAGACGCUGGAAUCACCCAGACAACUAGAUACGGGAUCACACAGACAGCAAGAAAAAAGGUCCUGGAGUGUUCUCAGAAUAUGAACCACAAUUGGAUGUUCUGGUAUCGACAGGAUGCAGGACAGGGAUUGAGGCUGAUCCAUUACUCAGGAAGUGUUGGCAGCUCUACCGAAGGAGAUGUCCCCAAAGGAUACACUGCCUCCCGAAAUAAGAAAGAGCAUUUCCUCCUGACGUUAGAGUUAACCAGCCCGAACCAGACCGCCUCAUACUUCAGCAGUGAACACAGCACUGCACAGCCAGGUGCUGCCUGCACAAAAGGGCAGUCAGGAAGUUGA